GCGCACUCCUAUUUAAGAGCUUUUAUCGACAAUUAGGGUUUACGACCUCUAUAUUGGAUCAGGACACCCCAAUGGUGCAGCCGCUAUUAAAGGUUCGUUUGUUCAACGAUUAAAGUCCUACGUGAUCUGAGUUCAGACCGGAGAAAUCCAGGUCGGUUUCUAUCUAUAUAAUAAUUUCUCCUAGUACGAAAGGACAAGAGAAUUAAGGCCAACAUUACAAACAAGCCUUACAACUAACUAAUGAUCUUAUCUCAAUUAGUUAAUGCAAGAUUUUAUUACUCUAGAGAAGAGUUAUUAAGGUGGCAGAGCAGGUAAUUGCAUAAAACUUAAGCCUUUACUAU
RNAcentral lists this non-coding RNA (341 nucleotides) under Monodelphis domestica (gray short-tailed opossum). RNAcentral describes it as "Bacterial large subunit ribosomal RNA". It matches the Rfam family "Bacterial large subunit ribosomal RNA", at positions 2480 to 2925 of the family's 2925-position model. The record is from Rfam by way of RNAcentral. Lineage: Eukaryota; Metazoa; Chordata; Mammalia; Didelphimorphia; Didelphidae.